This 384-nucleotide ribosomal RNA is filed under the name uncultured bacterium. RNAcentral's name for it is "bacterial SSU rRNA". It matches the Rfam family "Bacterial small subunit ribosomal RNA", at positions 30 to 417 of the family's 1533-position model. The record is from RNAcentral.
AUUGAACGCUGGCGGCAUGCCUUACACAUGCAAGUCGAACGGCAGCGGGCCUUCGGGUGCCGGCGAGUGGCGAACGGUGAGUAAUGCAUCGGAACGUGCCAUUGAGUGGGGGAUAACGUAGCGAAAGUUACGCUAAUACCGCAUAUUCUGUGAGCAGGAAAGCAGGGGACCGCAAGGCCUUGCGCUCUUUGAGCGGCCGAUGUCAGAUUAGCUAGUUGGUGAGGUAAAGGCUUACCAAGGCGACGAUCUGUAGCGGGUCUGAGAGGAUGAUCCGCCACACUGGAACUGAGACACGGUCCAGACUCCUACGGGAGGCAGCAGUGGGGAAUUUUGGACAAUGGGCGCAAGCCUGAUCCAGCCAUGCCGCGUGAGUGAAGAAGGCCU